AUGAAAGACCAUUGAGGAAAUCACCAAGGAAGACACCAAUUGUUAUCCAGCAUCAAAGACAGAGAGAACGGUCACCUGAUAUAGAUGAGAGACCUACAGUAACACCUGGUGUUCAGGAAUACUUCAACUUGAUGUUAACAAAAAUGGAAGAGAUGCAGAAAGACAUCAAAGUACUGAAAGCUGCAUUGCUAGAUGAAGAUGAAAAAAUUACGGACAUAAUGCCAAGGCCGCUUAGCAGCAUAGAAGCACUUCAACAAUUUGAAGAACAAAUUGAUGAUGCCCUCCGGAAGAGACUAGUAAGGACAUUUGUUUUAACAUUACCUCAGUCAUUAUUGUUGAAAAAAUGAUUAAAUCUCAAAACAUAAAUUGUGUUCAUGUGCAUUCCAGUUCUUUGACUAGUAUUCAAUACACUAACAUCAUAUUAUAAAGACAUUCAAGCAUUCAUUUGUAUUUUU
Ostrea edulis (European flat oyster) is the source of this 455-nucleotide long non-coding RNA. RefSeq lists it as uncharacterized. NCBI's taxonomy places the organism in Eukaryota, Metazoa, Mollusca, Bivalvia, Ostreida, Ostreidae. The record is from RefSeq and is a predicted model, not a curated record. The transcript has 3 exons.